RNAcentral lists this transfer-messenger RNA (303 nucleotides) under Synechococcus phage S-SSM7. Its description in RNAcentral is "Cyanobacteria transfer-messenger RNA". It matches the Rfam family "Cyanobacteria transfer-messenger RNA". Rfam says of the family: Bacterial tmRNA, also known as 10Sa RNA or SsrA, is named for its dual tRNA and mRNA-like properties. Lineage: Duplodnaviria; Heunggongvirae; Uroviricota; Caudoviricetes; Pantevenvirales; Kyanoviridae. The record is from Rfam by way of RNAcentral.
AUGUACGACUCAAAAAGACAUGUAGGUGGUGUCACCGACAUUCUGGACAGGGGUUCGAUUCCCCUCAUCUCCACUCAGGGGGAUGCCAUGGCUUCGACAGGGUAUACGGAACAUGACUGAAAACCUGCUCGGAGAGCAAACCACAGAUGCAAAAUCAUCUGACACUGCUGCGAACAACAUCGUAGCGUUCUCUCGUAUUCUUACGAGAGAAUUUGCCCGCACUGACGAACUCGUCACUGCCUAAGGGGCAAUCGGGGAUUAGUCACUCCUUGUUACCCAAGUGACUGUGGGGGCUUUGCCCCC